UGACCACUCUGUUGUCGGUUGAUUUUCCCUUCAUGUCUUUCUUUCUCACCCUGCAUUUGAUUAUAACCAAAUUUUCAACCUCUCUGCUAUCUUCUUUCAACUGUGCCAUUGAGUGAAGUACUCAUCUUACCUCUGAACUGAUGGAUAGUCUAUACAUAUGGCCUGGCGACAAACCGACGACGACUAUUGUUUUGGCAUGGCACCGAUGGCCUUUUGGGGCAUGAAGCAGUCAGUCCAGAGGACUGCGGCCAGGAUGAUGGCCUUUGUCCCUACGGCGUGAUUAAAAACAAAAGUUUCUUGCAGAUUGCUAAUUAAAACGGCAAGCGCCCCCUAGUUUCCAUUGGCAGUGAAAGGAAACUAAUCCAAUUGCUCCUGAAACACAAAUAUGUACAACAAAGGUUACCCUCCGUCUAUUUUCAGUUUCUAGAAAAUUCUAGGCCAAAUAUUCCCGGGUUGAUUAAAUAAAUGUUAGUAUUAUACUUAUAGUUUUGCUAUGCCCAAAACAGCUGAUCAAAUACUCAAUUCUUCACCUCUGCAUUUGGGGAUUUAAGCUAGCAAAGUUGAGCUAACUAAAAUUUUGGGCUUAUAGGCUGACUAGCUUCUAAAUCUUGUUAUAUAUACUGGUGAUGGAGUGACAAGGGACAUCCCUUUUCUCUUCGCUGAUUCAAUUUUUGCCAAAGGAAUUCUAUGCUUGCAAAUUAUGUCCAGCUUCUUGAUUGUUAUGGUAAUUCUCUGCCCAUUUUUUCAGGACAGACGGCAAUGUUCAAAAGAUUAAGUGGGAUUGGGGGUGUGUUCUGCUCCUGGGUACACAAUGAAAUGUAGAGCUGCACCGCAUGUGUGGUCUUCAGCGUCAGGCUGCCUAGUACAGUAGAAAUACAACAUCAAAGCAUCGUCGAGUGGAGCUGAUGUAACUAAAUAAUUUUCACCGACUCAUGUAAUUUAUUACAUGUUAACAUAUUAAUUCCUUUAUUUUUGAUAUGUGCGCAAUGCCUGAAAUAUGUAGACGCAUGUGUGCAUGGACACAUUGGAGUUCAUACUCAAGCCGUACGUGCAAAACUUGCAUUGUGUAAUCAGGUCAUCCUUACUAUUCUUACGGGCAUUAAA
Molecule: long non-coding RNA, 1104 nt
Organism: Lolium rigidum
Lineage: Eukaryota; Viridiplantae; Streptophyta; Magnoliopsida; Poales; Poaceae
Exons: 2
Source: RefSeq, a predicted model, not a curated record